RNAcentral lists this ribosomal RNA (530 nucleotides) under Salmonella enterica. RNAcentral's name for it is "partial 23S ribosomal RNA". It matches the Rfam family "Bacterial large subunit ribosomal RNA", at positions 635 to 1165 of the family's 2925-position model. Lineage: Bacteria; Pseudomonadati; Pseudomonadota; Gammaproteobacteria; Enterobacterales; Enterobacteriaceae. The record is from RNAcentral.
CUGUAGCAAGGUUAACCGAAUAGGGGAGCCGGAGGGAAACCGAGUCUUAAUUGGGCGUUAAGUUGCAGGGUAUAGACCCGAAACCCGGUGAUCUAGCCAUGGGCAGGUUGAAGGUUGGGUAACACUAACUGGAGGACCGAACCGACUAAUGUUGAAAAAUUAGCGGAUGACCUGUGGCUGGGGGUGAAAGGCCAAUCAAACCGGGAGAUAGCUGGUUCUCCCCGAAAGCUAUUUAGGUAGCGCCUCGUGAAUUCAUCUCCGGGGGUAGAGCACUGUUUCGGCUAGGGGGCCAUCCCGGCUUACCAACCCGAUGCAAACUGCGAAUACCGGAGAAUGUUAUCACGGGAGACACACGGCGGGUGCUAACGUCCGUCGUGAAGAGGGAAACAACCCAGACCGCCAGCUAAGGUCCCAAAGUCAUGGUUAAGUGGGAAACGAUGUGGGAAGGCCCAGACAGCCAGGAUGUUGGCUUAGAAGCAGCCAUCAUUUAAAGAAAGCGUAAUAGCUCACUGGUCGAGUCGGCCUGCGCG